AGUGAACGCUGGCGGCAGGCCUAACACAUGCAAGUCGAACGGCAGCACAGUAAGAGCUUGCUCUUACGGGUGGCGAGUGGCGGACGGGUCAGGAAUACAUCGGAAUCUACUUUUUCGUGGGGGAUAACGUAACGAAACCUACUCUAAUACCGCAUACGACGCACCGUGGUAAGCAGUGGAUCUUUUGACCUUUUGCGAUUGAAUUAGCCGAUGUGGGAUUAGCUAGUUGGGGGGGUACAGGCCCACCCAGGCGGCGAUCGGUAGCUGGUCUGAGAGGAGGGUCGGCCACCUUAGAGGUGGGACAGGGACAAGGGGACUACGAGAGGGAGCAGUGGGGAAUAGUAGACAGAGGGGGCGAGCCUGGUCCAGCCAUACCGCGUGGGAGACGAAGACGUUCGGGUUGUGAAGCCCUUUUGUUGGGAGAGAAAAGCAGCAGGUUAAUACCCCGCUGUUGUGACGGUACCCAAAGAAUAAGCACCGGCUAACUUCGUG
Molecule: ribosomal RNA, 492 nt
Filed under: uncultured bacterium
Lineage: Bacteria
Description: partial 16S ribosomal RNA
Rfam family: Bacterial small subunit ribosomal RNA
Source: RNAcentral